GUCUAUGGCCAUGCUACCCUAAACAAGCCUGAUCCUAUCUGAUCUCGGAAGCUAAGCGAGGUUGGGCCUGGUUAGUACUUGGAUGGGAGACCACCUAGGAAGACCAGGUGCUGCAGGCG
RNAcentral lists this ribosomal RNA (119 nucleotides) under Pteropus alecto (black flying fox). The record is from RNAcentral. Lineage: Eukaryota; Metazoa; Chordata; Mammalia; Chiroptera; Pteropodidae.